UAUAAUUUUAAUAUUUUUAUAAUAUUAUAAUUUUUAUAUGAGGGGCUUUUGUCCUUAUUUCCGUCGGAUAAAAUAGGAAUUAAAUAUUUUUUAGGGUAACAGUAUAAGUCCGUAUAUAUCCCCAAAUUGAAUAUACUUUUUUCAACGUUAUUAUAUAUUGAAAAAAAUAAAAGAUUAUUAUUUUAAGCUAUUAUUAAUACGUAAAUUUAUUUAUAAUAAUAUUUUUAUUUACCAACACCGGUUUUUCCCAUAUAAUAGGAAAAUUUCCCUUUGCUUCUUAUAUAAUAAUAUAUAAAACGUUUUAUUUUUGUAAAGAUAUUACGAAAAUCAGUAAUUUAUAACCGUACGAAGUAAAUUCUUUUUGGUGGUAAGUUCGUCCUGUUCCACACCAAUAAUAAUUAAUGUUUUGCAAAUUUGCAAAAAUAAUUAAUAUUAUACCGCAAGAAUUUAUUAAUUAAAUUUAUUUUUGCACCCGUGUUUUUAUUUAUAUUAGUAUUAAUUCCAAAUAAAUCUAAUAGUUAAAGUAAAAUUGGCAAAAUAAAACGUUGGGGUAAAAUUAGGGUAUUAAACUUGCUAAUAAAUAUAACAGUAAAUUUUCGAAAAAGGUUAUUUUGCGUAUUUUUAUUUUUUACCAUUUAAAUUAAAAUCUUGUUUUAAAUUUAAAUUACUCUGAUAUUUUGGCUUAUUAUUUAUCUAAAACCUAAGUUUUAUUUCGAUAUUAAUAAACGAAGUAUAUACUAUUAUCGCAACGAUAAUACCGAAUAAACUUUCCCGUGGUUUUAUUUUCUCGAUUCUUCUAAUAUUUAAAUCUUUUAAAUGCCCCGAAGUCGCGUUUUCUUCUUUUGUUAUAUUUGUGUUUAAUUCGAUUUCCGCCGCAAUUCCCGUUAUUUCCCCUGGCUUUACUUUUACUUUUGCGUUCGGAAAAUUCGUUUUGGGUAAUUUGUAAUUUUAUCUUCUGUUCCUAUUAUUUUCGGUUUUUUUAGUUUUUCUUUGCUGUAAAAUUAUUACAUUAAACUAUUUCCAACGUUUUCUUUUAAAUUUUUAAUAUUAUUCUAAUAUUUUUAUAUUUAUACCACCGUCUUAUUUCCAGUAAAAAAUAUAAUACCACAAUAAAUAUUAAAAUAUCUUUUUCAAUUUAUAUACCAAUUUGUUAAAAAACCAUAAAAAACAAUUUUUUCAAUCUUUUUUAUUUAUAUGGAACUAAAAAUUCAAUAAAUAAAUAUGGAAAUUAAAAAGAAAUUAUUUUAUAAAAUACUUAGUUUGUUUAAAUUUUAAAGUAAUAUUUAUGUUUUUUAUUUUAAUAAUCUCGAUAAAUAUAUUUAUUGAUUUAACGGAGUUGUUCUAACUAAUUUCGGCAGUGGUACGUUUGGUUUUUAAAAACUCCAAAAUAUAAUUGUUAUAACAAUUUCGAAGCGGAAUCGAUAAAGUUAAAACCCUAUAAAAGAUUUUGCAUUUCUUAUUUAUAUAUUUUCGUUGCUGUUUUAAAUAUUUAUUAUAUUUGUAAUAACCAAUUAUUUUGUUAUUUUUAUAAAAAUUAAAAUCCCAAGAUAAAAAAAUAGGGAUCUUUAAAAAAAACUUACUUUUCUUUUUACAAAAUUUUGGUUUCCCGUUGUAAACUUAGCUUUUUUUAUAUAAAUUCUUUACAAUGUUCGAAUUGGCGUAUUUUUCUUAACAUUCAAAUUAACCACAAAUUUAGCAAUUUUUAACGAUUCGCCUGGAUAAUUGUCGGUUAUUAUAUAAAUAACCCAGUAAAAAGGAUUAAAAUUAUUACAACCGGGGAUUGGGUAUAAAUUAAAUAUACGCUAACUAGCAAAAUAUAAGGUAGUAAUACAGUGUAUAAUAAUCCACAAUAAUAUUACAGCAAUAGCAUUUGGGUUGAAAAUAUAUUUUUAAAAAUUUAAGAUUAACUUGCAACUUUUAGAAUUUAGGAGCUCCUAUUUAUAGGCGGCGUUUCUAUUAUGUUUAGGUAACGCGAAUUUACAGGUCUAGCAAAACUCAACCCCUAAAGCUGUACGCUAAUAUUUAAGCAUUAGUAAACCUGCACGUAACAACUACUUAUUUAAUUCUAAAAGCUCUUGAAAAGAUAUUAAUAAGUAAGCUCGAAAUGCGGUAUAUUAUGGGGCUAGCCUGUAAAUGUUAAUAAAUAAUAAUAUAUUGGUUUGGCCACAUAUAUAUAACCUACGCAAUAUAUAUACCAGAAACGUAUUUUCCUAUAAACAAAACGUAUUCUAACUCGUUUAAACCUUAUAAAAUUUUAAUUUUACUACUUUUGCACCCAAAAUACGUCACCAAACCAACGUUUUUGUUAUACGGUAAACCAACGGCAAUAUAACGGUUAAAUACCCGAAAGAAGUUACUAUUAUCGCUGAAAGGAAAGAAGAAAUACGGAAAAGAUUUGGGCGAUUUUUCCUGCUUUAUAUAUAAUAUAAAUUAUUACAUGGUCCAUAUUAUUAUUUACUUAUAGAAAUACGUGAGAUUAGUACGAAUUUAUAAUAUAACCCCUUUGUCCCGGUCCGCAAAUUAUAUAACUUGUGUUAUUUCCACCGCGGGGCCCUAAUUACAAUUCUACCGUUUUUUCCCUUUUUUAACAAAAUCCUGUUCGAUAGUUUUUGAAUUGCGAAGAAAAACCUGGGUAAAUUGCCCCGUUAUUUCCCUGGAAAUGCAGUAUGAUUUCCGCGGUAAUAUAAUUAAUUAUAUUAGGCGUAUUUAUUUCGGUUUUCUAAUUAUAUAAUACCGGUUUUGAAAUAAGUUUGUAUUUUUUACGCGUUGUGACUAGUAUAAUUAUUAUAUAUCACCGGAUAAUAUUAUUUUCGUCGCGUUUGCCCUUUGUUUUUCAAAUUGAAAAAAAUAUAUUAUUUUAUCAAAUUUUUCCUUUUUUAUUUUUAUUUUAUUUUUAUUUCGGUUUUGUUUGUUUUUUUACUUUCGCCCCGUUUUUACUCUAUUUUUAUUCUAUUUAUACCCCGUUUUUCUUUUAUUUAUAUUUACCCCGUUAUAUUAUUUUUUGGUUGCGGCUUUACCGCGGGCCUGUAAAAAUCUUUUACCGCUUAUAUUUCUUUUAUUUUUGUUUUUUCUUAUAAUCCUUUUUGUUUUUAUAAUUCCAUUUUUAUUUAUUUGCGUUAAUAUUUUCUGUUUUUAUUUUUACCGCGUUUUUGUUCUUCCGUAACUAAUGUUCCUUCUGCCCCGGUUUUGUUGUGUUUUUUUAUUUUAUUCUUUUAUUAUAUUUGCGUUGAACCUUUAUUAUAAUUUGUUUUAUUGGCCGAAAUAUUCCCUUUUCCCCCGCCGUUAUUAAUAUCAAUUGGCUUAGUCUUCCCUUUUUUCGUGGUAAUAUUAUUAUUUGUUAAUAAUAUUUGUAUAUUAACAGGGGUUUUGGAGUAAACCCUUAAUGCGGCGUGAUAGUAAUUAAUAAUAACACCGCAGUAAUAAUAACAAAAAUACCAUGUAAAUAUAAAAUAAAAAUUUAUAAAAAUUUAAUAUAGUUAAUUAUAUU
This 3487-nucleotide small RNA is filed under the name Pyricularia oryzae. RNAcentral describes it as "Magnaporthe oryzae sRNA M_BR32_EuGene_00111861". The record is from RNAcentral. Lineage: Eukaryota; Fungi; Ascomycota; Sordariomycetes; Magnaporthales; Pyriculariaceae.